This is a long non-coding RNA of Physella acuta, 852 nucleotides long. RefSeq lists it as uncharacterized. Lineage: Eukaryota; Metazoa; Mollusca; Gastropoda; Physidae. The record is from RefSeq and is a predicted model, not a curated record.
CUUAUGCGCUGAAAACACAUUUAGUUCAGUGGUUAUCAACAAACCUGACCUCCCUCAAUCACAGCUCUGCCUUUUAACUAAAAACUUUAAACAAAACUUUUUUUAUGAUUCAGUUAGAACGUCUACAGCAACAGUACUGCUAAUUUUUUAUUAUCUUUAUUAAAUAACCCAUCUUUGAAACAUUUUAAAGUCUAAAAACUAACCGCCAUCUCAUUGCAUAGCAACAGCCUAGGACCCAUAAGUCCGACUCCGAGGCAAGUGUUGCGAAAUAGCUGAACUUUGUUCUAAGGUUUUGUUCCUCCCUAGAAAUUUUGAACCAACACCAUGUCUCGGGUGCUAUUUUUCAUAGUUGGCACAUACUCAGGUUUAUAUGUUGCACAAAAUUAUGAGGUUCCAAAGUUGCCUGGUCCAAUAGGAUUGAUCGAUUACAUAAAAGAACUGGCACAGAAAUUUGAAAAAAAAGACAAAUGACAAAGGCUGACAUGAUGAAACAUUUACAUAAGAACUUGUUUCAAAUACAACUGUUACUAUGUAACAUGAUCUCUUGUGGUUAAGUUGUGAUGCAUUUGAUUGUUAACUGAGAUUUGUCUGAUUUUACUUAUAUAAAGAUUGUUCCUCUUUUAACAUUUGUGAGGUUUGUAUUUGUAUGAAACAUCAUUUUAAACAUUUAUUUAAUUUGCAGUCAAACUAAUUGUUUUACCUAAUCAUCCUACUCAUAAAAAUAAACAAUACUUGAAAGCCUUGUAAAGAUUUGUAAAAUAAGUAAAAAUUAAAUUUGUGUCCUGCUAUUUCCUUUUUUUAGCAAGUCCUAUAUUGUUGAUAACAUAAAACUAAUAAACACUUUAAAACCAA